RNAcentral lists this long non-coding RNA (9947 nucleotides) under Triticum aestivum (bread wheat). RNAcentral's name for it is "long non-coding RNA (TAES_LNC003015)". The stretch from base 3095 to 3167 matches the Rfam family "tRNA". Lineage: Eukaryota; Viridiplantae; Streptophyta; Magnoliopsida; Poales; Poaceae. The record is from RNAcentral.
AUGCUAUAUUACAAAUGUCGGGGUAUAAAGGCAGCACCUUGUGCUAUCUUUGUACAUUAACAAUAAUCCCCGAGUAUUAUCCGGUUAGGUUACAGGUCCUGUAGGAGAAACAGGAUCACUGCCUAUGAAAAUAGGCGUACGGCUUGUGUGAUGUAUAACUGUUCCUUUUGGUCUGAGAAGUUUGCUCGAUACUUCCUGACCAUAUGAAGUAGUUAGACUUUUCUUUGCAUAGCACGUUAAUUAGCUCAGAGACAAACAAAUGGGUGAUACUGUUGCUUAAAUUGUUGUUGCCCAAUGAUAUUAACAUUUUAGGGCUCCUCGGUCGUAGAACUUACCGAUAGAUGGGAUCUGAACUGUAACUAUUUUUCAUAUACUCAUAUUGUUGUUCACGUUUAUUUGUUAUUACUCCCUCCGUCCCAAAAUUCUUGUCUUAGAUUUGUCUAAAUACGGAUGUAUCGAGUCACAUUUUAGUAUUAGGUACAUCCGUAUCUAGACAAAUUUAAGACAAGAAUUUUGGGACGGAGGGAGUAUAAUUUUGUAAUGUUCGUCCUGCUGUUUUUUUUCCUUCUUCAUUUGAUUACUUGUGGACUCAUUGGUGUUGCUGCUAGUUUAUACAGUAGCAUGAAGGAUGUUUGAUUUAACCGUGGUGAAGGUUACACGCAACUCAUUGUGUAAAUUUAGUGGGGCUCGCCGGAAAUCUAACGGGAUACAAGAAACUCGGAUUUGAGGUAGUACAGGUCAGAUGAAUUGAAUCGAAUUUUCUUGUGAUGGUUGUGGCAAAACUUUCAAAAAAUAUUCAUUGACAUGGACAGAUGAUCUAUCCGGGGUCACAUCAGUACUGGAGCAAACUGUCUCCUCUCAAAAAUUGAUACACACUAAUUAUUUCCUGGCACUAGAUUACACAUGCCCUAAGAUAGGUUAGUCUUGAAUAAUCUCUACAAGUGAGAGAGAGAGUGAUAUCUGCAAAAGAUAUUACAUAUGCUACAGCUAGAGCUGAUCAAAGAGAGAAGGAAGGAGAUUCAGUUCCCAACUAAUUGUGAUUUUUGUUGGAGCCGCUCUUGGGAAAUUUCCUCAUGCUGGCGUCGAACCCCACCUCCACGGGCUUGCCGUUCGCCGCCGCCGGAAGAGGAUCGCCCUUGAUGUGGAACUCGUUGGUCUCCAUGCCCACGGCCGUGGUGGGCCUGGGUUGUGCGGCCAGCAACAACCUCCUUGCCGCAGGACCGCGGCGACCCUGCUGCCACAGCCACGGCGAUGCUGUCGCGUCCAGAGACAUGGCGGCUGUUGUCGUCGACGGCGUGAGCAAGAGGAGAUGGAGCAGGAGUAUGGAGGCGAGGAGGCAGGAGACGACGACGGCGACGCUCCGGCGGUUGCCUGCAGCCUGCAGCUUAGUCUUCAUGGCACUUGAUCGAACCGUAAGGUUGGAGACUUGGAGUGUGGUGGGAGUUGAAGAGUUGGAGCUGUAGUGUUGUCUUCUACGGCGCGCGUAUAUAAUGCUCAAGUGCACGCAGCUUCCACUGGUGGAUCGGGCGGAGUACGUGGGAACAUGGAGUGAACAUGUGACGCCAUGUCUUAAGUUAUACUAGUCGGGAAUGGAGCAAAAGAGAGUCACGGAGCAUAUGGGGCGAGCUGUGGGAACAUGUCACCCCGAGAUCUGGAUCCAUUUCCUCCAUUCCAGCCAGCUGAUUCAUCCACAUUACGAAUUCUGUAGAAACUAAUACUAGCGCUACAUAGGAUAUAUGUGCAGCGCCCCGGUUUUCCAGUACGUUGCCACUUUACAUGCAUCGAGUUUACACUGGCGAAUAUCACGGGAGGGCGUUGUUCGUUCGUUCGGACUUGGCGCCAAGGCCGACCAUGUGAUGCUUAUCUUUGACUAAUAAUCCACCGCCGUCCGGCCGAAAUACCUACGAUCUUCCUCUUCUUCGGAGCUGAUCUUUUUGACUGGUUUCAUGUGAUCAGAUGGAACAUUCAUCAUCCAUUUUCUAUGGCACGCAGAGCAUAAUAUCAAACCAGUGUGACAAUGCAUCCUACAGAUUCAGAUCGGCUGGGGUAGCUAGCAAAGUGCUUAAUUAUAUAAGUAUAGGCGUGGUAGAUCGUGGAGGGGUACGGCCAACCGGGUAGUUACAAACGUAUCAUACACGGAUGCACUGUUCCUUGCAUCUGUAACCGCAGCAGCUGUAUGGUCUGGACUCAUCAUACUAGCAUUAUAUCAAGAAACAUUUUUUCUUUUUUCAAAAUAUCUCAAGAAACAAUGAAAAAAAAAACAUAGUGUAUCGAUCAAGUUUGGAAAGUUGAUUCAUCUCAACACAUGCUGCUACACUUAAUCUACUUCUAUAUAUUGUUAACUGAACUACCAGUUAAUUGAAAAUGUGAUGAUCCUAAUGAGCGCCCAAUGGAGUACCUAUAAAAUGGCAGUGAUCUGAUCUCCACAUGGAACAAGGUUGGCCAUGGACCAUCUGCCUCCUCAGUCCGCAGAUUUGACCAGCUAAUUCAGCUGAGUUAAUCACCCAGCAUUUUCCUUGCAUCGCUUCUCUCCAAUCAUUGCCACCUUGUUGGCCUCUUCUCUUGGAGUUGGAGACUUAUUUGGAUGAUCCAUGUUUCACAUGCAACUGGUCAAGGACUCAAGGGGCUAGUCCCUCUACGGAUUUGACUAGCCAUUGGCUAAGUUUAUAAACUGCCCUGGUGUUUCUUGUUCAUGGCCCAGUCAUGCAUCCAGACAUUGUCUUGGCCUUUUUCUCUUGGACCACUGUGAAACAUGGCAUACUGAACAUGGGGCAUUGGGUUUAACAUAAUAUGAUACGUACUUACUUAGCAUUGUUAGGAGGGGCCGGAGAGCUAGGCACUUAUUGUCUGCAUUUCUUAAGUCUUUCUAGAUGGCCACAGAUUAGAAGGGGGCUUCUCAAGUGAAGACAAGUAUAUGUCCUCUCUUUUGAAUUUCAUUUCCUCUGGGAAAAUUAUGAAUUCGCAUUGAACUCCUCUAUGACAUCGCUGCUUUACUGACCUACUCCAUUGUACUAAAAAAACAACGGAGGUGUGUGGAUGUAGAAUUCAUGAAAGUACUGUACAAGUACUAACGAAUAGGAAUUAGACCAUAAAAGGGGAUGUAGCUCAAAUGGUAGAGCGCUCGCUUUGCAUGCGAGAGGCACGGGGUUCGAUCCCCCGCAUCUCCAACAUUUUUCUCUUUUUCUCAUAAAAAAACAUCACCAUUUUACAGUUCUCUUCUAUCUUUUACUUGUUGUAUAAGGGGGGACAAGGAGAUGGCCUGAGGUUCGAUAUAAUGCUCGAGUUCAUUGUUUUGCAAGGUAACGCGGCACACAUUUAGCUUUUUUAUGUAUCAAGGCAGAACCAGUUAAAAGCUAGAUUUAGCGUUUUGUUGUACUGUUGGUUAUAAUGGUUUCAUUAAUUUAAAGUCGUACGCCAGCCUCUUUUCUAAAAAAGAUUGCCAAGGGAAGUGACCUUUUAUACUACUUGGUGGGCAGGGGCAUUGGCUCCUGUUUUUUGAAAUGAUUCAAAAAUCGUAUUUACAAGUUUCAAAGAAAUUAAAAAAAAAGAACUGCACAAACUUAUACAUAUUCACAAUAGAUCUGUGAAUUUUCGUUCAAAAAUAUAAUUUGCAAGCUGCACAAAAUAAAAAAAAUCCCAGCCCAACAAUAAACAAAGACUGGCUCAUUUUCAUGUACAUUUUUGAUUUUUUGCCUACAUCACGCGUGAAAGUAUAUUGUUAUGAAAAUUUUCUUGAACAUGUUAUAUGUGUAUUUGUACAAAAAAAUUCUAAAAAAAUGGGCGUUGUUGAAUUCUUUUUUUAAGUCCACAUAGUGCCCGUCCACCGUUGGGCAUUUCGUUAUACUACCUCCAUUCCUAAAUUUAAACUGGGGCAGUUUAAAUUUAGGAAUGGAGGUAGUAGAAGCACGCGAUCCUACUAGACAUGGAAGGAAUAAACUUAAAAAUAUGAUGAUUAUUUUUAUUUUCUUCUAAUCUUCUAUUUCAUACAAAUAUUACAUGUUCCCGGAAUAAAACACUCCUGCAGAUAACUUUUGUAACAAACACUUGCAUGUGUAUCUUUUGCUGCACAAACACUUACAAAGCGCUUGAUGCCAAAACCUAUAUGAGCAAGUAUCUUUUCAAGGUAUCACAUAUGAACCGAAUAUGUGAUGGCCAGUAAUCUUUACAUGGCGGCCCAUCUUGAACAACAAUAAAAGAAUGAGCAGCAUAUUUGGCAACCUUCCCCCUUUCAGGUAAAGACCAGAUAAUGCUAUCUCCUUAACAUUCUGAACGAGGGCAGAUUCUGAACGCUUGAAACACCUCCAAUUGUAAGCUCUUGCUCUAACUGGCCUAGUGUGGACUUCAGAACCUCCUGAUAGUAAGAUGAAAGAAAGGUCACCAAUUGAACAAUGGUGAAGGAACAAGAAACCAUUAGCAUGCACACAACGCAUCGUGUAUAAAGAACGCUCACGUUGAAUUCCAUAUAACUAGCUCUCCUUGCAAGCCACUGAGCAUCGAGCAUCUGAAAAGCUAGGCAGAAAAGGUUAUCGAAAGCCAUCUCGUCAUCUUCAAGUAGUUGAGCAAAGCCAACUCUUGCUUUUGAGCUCCUCCUAUUUUCUGCAAAGAAGCAAAAAAAAAAUCUUCACAGGUUGAUCUGCUUAAGGAACCAAACUACACAUGCAAUCAAGGGAGAGUACUAGUCACAGAAAAGCGAAGAGCACAACGUGCAACCGACCCCCGACCCCCGCGUCCCUCUCUGAGGCGACACGGGGGGAACCCCAUCUGCCCCGCCGCCGGCGCCCCCUUCCCCGCCUCCCUCCCUCGCCGCCGUCGUGGUCCGCUGCGGGGCAAAGCCCUGGCAGUGCCGGCGGUGGCGGGGCAUCUCCCCGGAGCAGCUCCCCUCCCUUCCCCAACGACGGCUCGGAUCUGCCCGCUGGUGCCUUGGCAGCAUGGUGCGGUGGAAGCACGGUGGCAUCCCUGCUCGGCGCCGGAGGUGGUGGGGCGCCUGCUGCCGGUGGUGCUGCCUCGACGGCUGGUGCAGCCCGGGACCUGGGAUCGACCUUGGCUGGAUCUGGGCGGCGGGGUUCGGGGCUGUGACCUCUGUUAGGCGUGGCGUGGUGUUCCCGUGGCUCUGCUGCGACUCGCUCCGGGGGGUGGUUGGCUAGCGGUGGGUUGGUGGUGCUGGCUGGCGGCGCCCGGAGCGCGGAUCCGGGGAUCUCGGUCCGGAUCUGGUGCGUCUUCGACGCUGGCCAGCGUGGUGCUCACGGCAGGGAGUGCGGCGGUUGUCUCCGGAUCCUUGCGUGGAGCGUAGCAGGUUCGAGGGUGUAGGUGGUGCACCGGCACUGGCGGUGGCGGCGGCGCGAGUGCAGCCAUGGCGGCGGCGGCGCUGCGAGGCCUUGCCAGGAAGGGUCUUGGCGGGCAGCGGGCGUUCGGUUGCUGCCGUGUGAGGCGUGCGGCGAUGCCUCGGCGGUGUGGGUGCCGGCGUGUGGUCAGAGGUGCGAGUCGGAUCCAUUCUGGUGGCAGUCCCUUGGUGCGGGUGAAGGCCGCCGUGGUGGAACUGGCUUUGCACCGGUCGGUGGUUGUUGCGGCUCCUAGUCGAUGUUGAAGGGGAUGGCUUUUGGCGUGUUCCCUCGGCAGUGAGGGGGGCUUCGAUGGCAAGUUGUUGCGGUGACAGCGGUGCGAGGCAUCUGAUCGGGACUGGCCGGGAUCUUGGAGACGUGGAGAUGUGCAGUACUACGGAUGAAAAUCCUGUUCGGUUGCGGCCGAACCGGCAUUUAUGGCACCUGCGGGUGUCAUUCACCUUCCUGGAGGCUUCGUCGAGUGCAACACCAUCUUCCUCGCGACCUCGUAUCGGCAACUGUCUCCGGGGCGAAAGCCUUGAUUCGUAGGAUCGGCAUGAUGGCAACGUCUUUGAGGUUGUUACUCUGUUGGGAGCAUUGUGCUGGGAGACUCAAGGUCCCAUGAUGCGCUCCUCCGGUGUUCACCGUUGCCCGGAUCUUUCUCCUCCGACGCCAUGUACGGUCGUCGCUGGCUAAUCCAAGGAAGCUGGAGUUGCUGUUAAUCGGAGGUCUUCAGUGUCGGCCGAGACGCGGCGAGGGGCUUGGUGUUGGGCAGGCUUUUUGUGUCUUAGCUGUGUUGUUGUGUUUGGUUGUCCUUGUUCGUAUCGAGUGUGGAGUUGGUCACAUUCGUUGUUCGCAACGAGUGGUAGACGUUGUUGUAUGUCUUAUUUCUCUUCUUCUAUAAAGCUAAGGUACGCAAUUUGCGUACCCUCGGAAAAAAAAGCGAAGAGCCAAAGACUCCCAGGGGCGACUCGGGUGGCGAAACCCUAGCCGCCACCCAAGCCGCCUCCCUCCCCUCGCCGCCGCCGGAGGAUGCCGGCGGGCGAAGCCCACGUCGGUGGACGGCGGCGGUGGGGCCCUUGUUCGCAUGCUCGCGCGCAGGUGUUGGGCGCGCUGGAGCGGCGGGAGCGUGCGGUGGCGUGGCGGACGGCGGUCUGCGCGCAGGGGAGGUCGAGAUGNNNNNNNNNNNNNNNNNNNNNNNNNNNNNNNNNNNNNNNNNNNNNNNNNNNNNNNNNNNNNNNNNNNNNNNNNNNNNNNNNNNNNNNNNNNNNNNNNNNNNNNNNNNNNNNNNNNNNNNNNNNNNNNNNNNNNNNNNNNNNNNNNNNNNNNNNNNNNNNNNNNNNNNNNNNNNNNNNNNNNNNNNNNNNNNNNNNNNNNNNNNNNNNNNNNNNNNNNNNNNNNNNNNNNNNNNNNNNNNNNNNNNNNNNNNNNNNNNNNNNNNNNNNNNNNNNNNNNNNNNNNNNNNNNNNNNNNNNNNNNNNNNNNNNNNNNNNNNNNNNNNNNNNNNNNNNNNNNNNNNNNNNNNNNNNNNNNNNNNNNNNNNNNNNNNNNNNNNNNNNNNNNNNNNNNNNNNNNNNNNNNNNNNNNNNNNNNNNNNNNNNNNNNNNNNNNNNNNNCGACGGCUGGCCGCUGCAGCGAGCGGCAGAGCUGCAGGCGCCCAGAUCUGGGCCGCGCGGGCCCGCCCUGGCCCGCGUCAACCACUCCGCCCCUGCCCACCCUUCUCCCUCCUCCCACCCCUCCCGGCCGCCGCCAGUGGUCGCCCGCGACAACUCUGACGGUUGCUGCGAUGCUGUGCCCCGGCGGAUCCUGGUGGUGGAGGCUGCGGGCCGGCGCAGCGGCGGCGCGGUGCAGGUGACUGCUGUCGCCUGCUGGACGCGCUCCCGGCGGUGGCCGGCCUGCUGGCGCUGCGCUGGCCGGUGCCCAUUUCUGCGACUGUCGACGUUCCUAGGCUUCCCUCCUCCAUGUGUGUUUGUCUUCUCCGGCGUUCUCUGCCAUGUCCGGUCUGAAUCUGCAUCUGAGGUCCUUGCUCAUGGGUCGGGGCGAAAUCCCCGCGCGGCGAUAGCCUGCGCUGUCAACGGCGACGCCCGAGGGUGCCGUCACCUCCUUGGAGGCGUUGGCAUGACCCUGACCGGACCUCCUCCUAGAGCACCGGGAGAAAUCCUAGGUCCGGCCUCCGGACCGGGCAGCGGCGGCGUCUCAACGCCGUUACCCUCUUGAUGGCGCUGCUUUGGUUGCAUGCGGAGUUUGAUGCGGCAGAUGGUGGCUGGCGUCGACGGCUGCACAGGGAGCAGGUCGCAACGUAUGCCAGCGUCGGCGCUCCCCCAACGAAUGUUACGCCAGUUCCUGCCAGGCCCUGCCUUUCACCCGCCGACUCCUAGGCACAUGGGUGUGUGGUACGUUGGUCUGGGCAGUCCUGGAGCUGCAAUCGUCCCUGGUGGUGUCUAGCAAUGGCGGUGAUGCUGCCCUGUUGCUCCGAGUCUCGGCGCCUCGCCAUCUUUGGCUGGAGGUCUGGCUGGGCGAGGCCUAAUGUCGUUGUGUGUUGUAGUUGAGGGCACCUCCUUACCUACUUGUAGUCGCUUGGUGAGGACGGUGUGUGUGUGUGUGUGUGUGUGUGUGCGCGCGCGCGCGCGUGUGUGCGUGUGCGUGCGUGUGUGUGUGUGUGUGUGUCCCUCCUUCCUGGAGGUUGUACCCCCGAUGUCUUCCUGUUCAAUGCAAUGAAACGCAAACUCUUUUGCGUUUUCUCGAAAAAAAAGGGAGAGUAGAUUUAAAUGAAGAUAAAGCAUUUUGACCAGUUAUUGCAUUCACUUCACCUGAUUGUAAAUCCAGCAUUUGACCUAACAUAUAAGAUACAUUUACGCCAGCUACUGCAAAAGGAUAUUCCCAUUCAGCUCUCUCACCAUCUGCCUUGUGUAAUAGCCGAUGAAAGGAAUCCUGCAUGUUAAGCAGGUAUUCAGCAUUUAACCAGAUUGAAAUACCAACUAACAGUGGAUUUAUAAGGAGCAAGUGCCCAUGAUGAACAGAAACAUACUGGGUAAUUUCUUGCAAAAUAUAUUAGAUUUUCCAAGGACAUGAAUCCCCCAGACCUGCAAGCAUCGGAUAGCUCAUGAGAACAGUCAUCUCAGUUCAAGUGAGUAGUGACGUUGAAAGAGAAAAACAGCAGAUAGCUUCUUAAAAUAUGAAUAGUUGAAAAAAUGAACCUAAAAUCUGUUGCUGGGUCAGAGUUCUGCCAGCCCAUUUCCUUCCAUAGAUCUGAUUUCAGAGGAGGAAGUUCUCGGUUAGGAUAAGCCAAUCUCCAAAGUUCUUUUAGUGCAUCCUGUAAUGGGAGAAGUAGCAUGCCGUUCAUGAAUAUAAGCAUAUUAACAUAUUAAUGAUUUAAACUAGCAUUGACUUGCUCAAGAGCAGAAAAAAUGCCACAUAAACUAGAUAAAAGAUGAGAACCUGGUGCUUGACAGCGGAACAAUCAAAUGGCACAUUUAAUCUUUGUCUCAAGAAUUUUAAUCUCUCCUCCUAUAAAGUAAAUUAAAACUGUCAAAAACAUAAUAACAUGUCAAAAGAAAUUAAACAAAUGUAAACACUGAUAUAACAAUAAUGUUGGCGGCAUUGCUUCCCUGAAGGAGGUAGAAAUUAAGCACACAAGUCAAUAUCCAAAUGAUAAAGCACACAUGAGAAAAUAGCAACAAAUGUUCCAUCAAUAUGCCAACAUUUUGUUCAUGAACGUAAAUGCGCAAUUAAGUAAGAAUAUUUUCUAUUGUUCACACCCGAAAAGAUAUUUAGACGAGGGGCAAAUUAAACGUUGUGGGGUUCAUGAAACAACCAAGUCCUCCAAGAACUUAAGAUGUUAUAGGCAGGAUGGGAAAUUGUACCCCGGUUUUCAGCCAAAGGUAUCAAAUAUCUCUAAGAAUGUGCAUCAAAUUACAGGUGGCGCUUAACACACUCCUACUUCAUAAAUUUGCACUUACAAUAAAACCUUUCCGUGUUCAAUAUACAACAUUUCAAACAAAGAACACAAAAUCUGCAGGUGCCACAGUACCUGUAAUGGACUGAGGUGAAUUAGCAUUGUCUGUGCAUUUUGUGAACUUUGGGGAGCACGGGAGCAACCAAAGAACCUUGCUAGGAACGAACCAAACUCCGAAAUAGCAUUUACUGCAAAGAAAAGCAAAUCUUCAGAGCAUUAAAAGCCUACAAGGAAGAAACGACAAUAGCAAGCACAACAUAUUAUUCAGAAAGGUAUAUCCGCGUAAUUUAUGCAUAAAUGAGAUGUCAAAAGAAAAUUACGCACAAAUGAUUUCAGCUUAAUCAAAAUCCUCACUAGCUUAUCAGAACCUACACAGUCAAUGUUGCAAAAGGGAAGAUCAUGAAACAGGCAUAUGUUUUGAAGAACCGGGUACAUUAGAUUCAAGUGAUAGUGAGAUGAUUGUUUAUUCUCAGGUAAUAAGUACAGCAUGUGGCCUUUCUGGAUCGAAGCUAGUGACAAUUACCUAUCUUUCUUGCAGACUGAGUAAUAAAAGUAGAUACAAUAUGCACCCAAUGAAGGCACUCGCGUGAUUUUCCAUCCCAGAAAUCCGGUAUAGGCUCAUACCCCUUCAAGAGACGCAGAAUCAAGGACAUUAGGAAAACACAGAAAAAAAA